AGAACAAUCUAACGCUUUCUCGCUCCUCCUCCUCUUCGCGUCUCUCCCUGCAAGCAAAUAUGAGUAGCAGCCGAUGGAACCGCACGAUCUACGUCGGGAACUUGCCUGGCGAUAUUCGCAUGCGAGAGGUUGAAGAUCUCUUCUACAAGUAUGGACCCAUUGUGGACAUUGAUCUGAAGAUUCCACCGAGACCUCCUGGUUAUGCAUUCGUCGAGUUUGAAGAUCCUCGUGAUGCAGAUGAUGCUAUUUAUGGGCGGGAUGGGUAUGAUUUUGAUGGGUGUCGACUACGGGUUGAGAUUGCACAUGGUGGUCGUAGAGGUUCAUCCUCGGUGGAUAGGUACAGCAGUGGGAGCCGUGCACCUUCGAGGCGGUCCGACUAUCGUGUGCUGGUGACGGGAUUACCGCCAUCUGCUUCCUGGCAAGACCUUAAGGAUCACAUGCGUAAAGCUGGAGAUGUCUGCUUUUCUGAAGUUUUUCGUGACCGUGGAGGCAUGUCAGGGGUUGUGGAGUAUAGCAACUAUGAUGAUAUGAAAUACGCGAUAAGGAAGCUUGAUGACUCUAAGUUUCGAAAUGCCUUCUCUAGAUCUUAUAUACGGGUGAGAGAAUAUGAGUCGAGGAGUGUGAGUCGCAGCCCAUACUAUUCUAGAAGCAGGAGUCGAAGCUAUAGUUAUAGUAGCAGAAGUUUGUCGCGUUCUCCAACGCCCCGUCCUCGUUCUCCAACUCCGUAUAGCUCGAUCUCAAGAUCUGGCUCACUGCGGCGAGCUGGGGACUGGAUCUUAGGGACUUGAUGGGUUAUCUAGAUGGAUUCUAGGACUCACUGCUCUGAUACUCAGGGCGUAUCAGCUGUAGGCUGGCAACAUUUGGCUUAAGAGUCCUCUGAUUCUCUUAACGUUUCUUUUUGUUGUCCAUACUGGAAUCCAUAUCCCGAUCAAGAUCGAGAUCAGAUUCUCCUGUUUCACCCGUGAGGUCUGAUUGAAAAGGAGAGCUGGUGACUGGGAAUAGAGGACCGCCGUAUCCAAAUGACUCAUGCUUCUCAGGGUCCAGCCAUAGUAUAAUAAUCUGAUUUGGAUUUGAGCUAUAUCUCGAAUGAACGAUUAAUAAUAUGCUCUUCUAUGUAAAAACUUUUUAGUUUGUCUGUUAUUGGGACUUUUUGAAAUGAACCGAACCUUGUGGUUGCUUGAAAAACGUUUGUAUUGUUUUAUAUAUGGUUUGAUAAUCAUUAAGACUAA
Brassica oleracea var. oleracea is the source of this 1229-nucleotide RNA transcript. It is a transcript of the gene named serine/arginine-rich splicing factor SR30, with no coding region annotated. The record is from RefSeq and is a predicted model, not a curated record. The transcript has 14 exons. Lineage: Eukaryota; Viridiplantae; Streptophyta; Magnoliopsida; Brassicales; Brassicaceae.